RNAcentral lists this long non-coding RNA (688 nucleotides) under Monodelphis domestica (gray short-tailed opossum). RNAcentral describes it as "lncRNA (ENSMODG00000045331.1)". Lineage: Eukaryota; Metazoa; Chordata; Mammalia; Didelphimorphia; Didelphidae. The record is from RNAcentral.
CCCCAACUGACAGUCUGGAGUUGAGAAGUGAAGCCUGAAGGGGGCAGAUCUGAUCUCUCCUGGAGUCCCUUGGACAUCUUGGAAACAGCCUCUUUGAAUAUCAUCAAGCAAGAGUGAGCAGGAGUUUCCAGCAAUACCCUCUGGUGGACAGAGAGGAAAAUUGGAGGAAAUCAGUCUAUCUUUUGGACUUCUGAGGACUCAGCUGGAUUCCUGUACCUGACUCAUCAAAGGACUCUCUGAGUAUUUCACAAAACCCAAAGUGGGGGAAUAGAAUAAUUUAACCUGAAAAGUAAAAGAGCUCAAGAUGUGACCCAAAGUGACAUACUCUGAAAAUAUGAACAUAAUCAUCAAUGAAAGAAGAUGGACAUUCAAUAAAAGAGAGAUUUGGGCAUAAUCCUUUUUUUAAGAGGAGAUUGAGUUCAGUGGAGGACUGGAAUCCAGCUUGGAGAAGGUCUCUUGCCCUGCCUGCCAGAAGAUUCUGCAUUGACACAGACCUGGGUGAGACACAAGGCUGAUUUCCAAAAGGGUCAUCAUCUCUCUCUGGGGUUCAUUGCUGCUACUUGAAAUUAUUCCAGGGGAAAGUCAUCUCAUCAGCCAAUAAUGACAAUACAACCACCACUACCAAUGGCAACAAUAACAAGAAAUCAUGUUAAAUAAAGCCUAUAUUGGGAAUAUGCUCUGCUUUCCC